This 231-nucleotide long non-coding RNA is filed under the name Parus major (Great Tit). RNAcentral's name for it is "lncRNA (ENSPMJG00000015473.1)". Lineage: Eukaryota; Metazoa; Chordata; Aves; Passeriformes; Paridae. The record is from RNAcentral.
UGUGAAAUAUCUCCUUUGUUCUGAUAUUUUCCAGGUUUUAAAUACUUCUCUAAAAUGAGUACAUUGCAGAUGAUGUGUACAAUAUUGGACUUGGUGCAAGCUUGCAUCGACAGAGAAGCUUUUUCUUUCAUUUGUUGGCACUUUUUAAUGAUUCCAGUAAUGUGUGAACUUUUGUGGCCAACAGCUGAAAAUUUUUGGGAAGAAAAAUACUUUGUCAGGUCAGAGAGCUGA